UACGGGGGGAGCAAGCGUUGUUCGGAUUUAUUGGGCGUAAAGAGCGUGUAGGCGGCCAGGUAGGUCUGCUGUGAAAACUCGAGGCUCAACCUCGAGACGUCGGCGGAAACCAUCUGGCUAGAGUCCGGAAGAGGAGAGUGGAAUUCCUGGUGUAGCGGUGAAAUGCGCAGAUAUCAGGAAGAACACCGGUGGCGAAGGCGGAUCUCUGGGCCUUACCUGACGCUGAGGCGCGAAAGCUAGGGGAGCAAACAGG
Molecule: ribosomal RNA, 253 nt
Filed under: uncultured bacterium
Lineage: Bacteria
Description: partial 16S ribosomal RNA
Rfam family: Bacterial small subunit ribosomal RNA
Source: RNAcentral